Molecule: ribosomal RNA, 460 nt
Filed under: uncultured bacterium
Lineage: Bacteria
Description: partial 16S ribosomal RNA
Rfam family: Bacterial small subunit ribosomal RNA
Source: RNAcentral
CCUACGGGGAGCAGCAGUGAGGAAUAUUGGUCAAUGGACGAGAGUCUGAACCAGCCAAGUAGCGUGAAGGAUGACUGCCCUAUGGGUUGUAAACUUCUUUUAUAUGGGAAUAAAAUGUUCCACGUGUGGGCUUUUGUAUGUACCCUAUGAAUAAGGAUCGGCUAACUCCGUGCCAGCAGCCGCGGUAAUACGGAGGAUCCGCGCGUUAUCCGGAUUUAUUGGGUUUAAAGGGAGCGUAGGUGGAUUGUUAAGUCAGUUGUGAAAGUUUGCGGCUCAACCGUAAAAUUGCAGUUGAAACUGGCAGUCUUGAGUACAGUAGAGGUGGGCGGAAUUCGUGGUGUAGCGGUGAAAUGCUUAGAGAUCACGAAGAACUCCGAUGGCGAAGGCAGCUCACUGGACUGCAACUGACACUGAGGCUCGAAAGUGUGGGUAUCAAACAGGAUUAGAUACCCUUGUAGUC